This 471-nucleotide ribosomal RNA is filed under the name uncultured Glomus. RNAcentral's name for it is "SSU rRNA". It matches the Rfam family "Eukaryotic small subunit ribosomal RNA", at positions 623 to 1088 of the family's 1831-position model. Lineage: Eukaryota; Fungi; Glomeromycota; Glomeromycetes; Glomerales; Glomeraceae. The record is from RNAcentral.
AAAGCUCGUAGUUGAAUUUCGGGAUUGACGUGACGGUCGUGCCUUACGGGGUAUGAACUGUUGCUGUUGAUUUCUCACCUUCUGGAGAAACUUGAUGUCCUUAAUUGGGUGUCUUGUGGAUCCAGGACCUUUACCUUGAAAAAAUUAGAGUGUUUAAAGCAGGCAUUUUUGCUCGAAUACAUUAGCAUGGAAUAAUAGAAUAGGACGGCAUGGUUCUAUUUUGUUGGUUUCUAGGAUCACCGUAAUGAUUAAUAGGGAUAGUUGGGGGCAUUAGUAUUCAAUUGUCAGAGGUGAAAUUCUUGGAUUUAUUGAAGACUAACUACUGCGAAAGCAUUUGCCAAGGAUGUUUUCAUUAAUCAAGAACGAAAGUUAGGGGAUCGAAGACGAUCAGAUACCGUCGUAGUCUUAACCAUAAACUAUGCCGACUAGGAAUCAGACGAUGUUAAUUUUUUAAUGACUCGUUUGGCACCU